This 24-nucleotide unclassified non-coding RNA is filed under the name Parhyale hawaiensis. Its description in RNAcentral is "partial trans-spliced leader". Lineage: Eukaryota; Metazoa; Arthropoda; Malacostraca; Amphipoda; Hyalidae. The record is from RNAcentral.
UGUUCCCUUUACCACGUUUUACUG